This 634-nucleotide long non-coding RNA is filed under the name Homo sapiens (human). RNAcentral describes it as "HSALNT0303726". The record is from RNAcentral. Lineage: Eukaryota; Metazoa; Chordata; Mammalia; Primates; Hominidae.
UAUGAGUGAGAUAGCACUAAGCUUCUCAACUAUAAUCUGUAAGAUGGAAGAAAAUUCCUACUAGUGUGGAGCUGCCAGGUGUCGAGGUGGUCCAUUAGGACAAUGAGCUGAAAUGAAACUAACGAUCGAGACUUUGUUCACCUGCUGUGAUGAUGUAAUCAAGGGCAAAAAUAAGCGCCGGCUCCCUAGUGUUAAUUUUCCCCAUGGGACAGCAGUGGUCAGGAUUGUGGUGGCAUGCAGUGCAGCAACUGGAUCAUAACAAUCAUGCAAUGAUACAUCAGGACCCUCGACCUCACAACAUUUUGUCUACCAUAUGCUUAAAAGAAGAAAAGAGACCAGGUGUAAAGAAUGAACACAUACUGUUACUUUCAGCUAGCAAGCAAGGAAGCCACCCAGGCAGCUGCCCUGAACUCAAACCUACACAGACAGCUCCAGAGCCAUUCUCCAUCAGCGCCAUGCUCAUCAGUACCAUUCAUGUUUUGUUUUCUUCCUUGAAUUCUAUUUUGUCUUUAUUUUUACAGUGUUGUCUGACCUAUAUGUACUCAUUCUUUGUUUUAAACCACUUAGUGCCAAUUCAUUUUACGUUUAAUGGUUAACACCGUAUAGCUAAAUUUUUUUAGAGAAUUUGGUAGUC